This 1159-nucleotide long non-coding RNA is filed under the name Felis catus (domestic cat). Its description in RNAcentral is "lncRNA (ENSFCAG00000045512.2)". The record is from RNAcentral. Lineage: Eukaryota; Metazoa; Chordata; Mammalia; Carnivora; Felidae.
AAGCUUAUUGUUAUGGGAUAAAUUGGUUAAAAUAUCAUCCUUCAGGGGCCCCUGGGUGGCUCCUUUGGUUAAGCAUUCGACUUUGGCUCAGGUCAUGAUCUCCUGCUUCAUGAGCUCAAGCCCCCCAUCCGGCUCUGUGAAGACAGCUCGGAGCCUGGAGCCUGUUUCAGAUUCUGUGUCUCCCUCUUUCUGCCCCUCCCUGCUCGUGCCCUGCCUCUCUCUGUCUCAAAAAUAAAUGAACGCUAAAAAUAUUUUAAAAGAUCCCAUCAUCCGUCAGCAGCAUCCCUGGCCUCUACCUAGUAGAUGCCUAUAGUAUCCUUCCAGUUGUGACGAUACAAACGUCACAAGUGUUAGCAAAUCCACCGCCCCCCCCCCCCGCCAGGGGUGUGGGUGCAGAUCGUCCCCAGUUGAGAACCAUUUGCCUUAAACAAAGGCUUGAUUGAGUGGGAGGGCCGGUAUGAGAUAGAAAGUUAAAGAACUUUCUCACAAAUAAAAAACGGCCCCUCUAAUUUUGCCAGCUACGUAUUUGUGUGCGUGCGUGUACUUACUCAUCAUUGUUGGCUGAGUUAGAGGAAAGUAGACAAGCUGAUUCUUCAUGCUAUAAGGAGCUGGUGCAGAGGAUGAGACGACAAGGUCAUAGGAAGGUCGGAAAGAACAAACAGCGGAAGACCUCAGAAGUGUGAGGAGCAGAGACAACAACAGCAGCGGCACAGAAUUUCUGCCCGUGGAGUUUCUCUGAAGAAGGUGACUGGUUUCAAGAGCCGGGCGGUGUUUUCAAAUGACAGUUCAGCCCCUUUGAGAGUGACAUCAUGGCAAGAGUGAUGGUAUUAACUCCAGUGUUGGUACCAGAGGAUGGCAGGGACUCAGAUGCCUGGAAAAAAUGGCCCGCGUACCAGCUGGGGUUGCCACCCUGGAACCACGACGCUUAGCCUUUCUUCUGUUACGAGACUGUGGAGACUGUUGGAGUCUCAAGGCUACGAGGGGCGUGGUUUUAGCCUCAUUUUAAAUGAUCGUGGAAACAGGAUUGAGAGGGUAAGUAACUUUGCUUGAGGUCACUAAGCCUCAGAUUUGGGAUUUGACUUGACUAUGCCACUUUUCAAAGUAAUCGUAAUAAUGACAAAAAUAAUAGGGGCAAUAUGGAGUAAGCACCCAAUAAAAG